RNAcentral lists this transfer RNA (87 nucleotides) under Hyphomicrobiales bacterium. Its description in RNAcentral is "tRNA-Leu". It matches the Rfam family "tRNA". From Rfam's summary of the family: Transfer RNA (tRNA) molecules are approximately 80 nucleotides in length. The record is from RNAcentral. Lineage: Bacteria; Pseudomonadati; Pseudomonadota; Alphaproteobacteria; Hyphomicrobiales. RNAcentral also lists the same sequence under 2 other names.
GCGGGCAUGGCGAAACUGGUAGAACGCGCCGGAUUCAAAAUCUGGUGGCUUCAAGCCGUGCAGGUUCGAGUCCUGCUGCCCGCACCA